Molecule: microRNA precursor, 55 nt
Filed under: Procavia capensis (Cape rock hyrax)
Lineage: Eukaryota; Metazoa; Chordata; Mammalia; Hyracoidea; Procaviidae
Description: miRNA (ENSPCAG00000019799.1)
Source: RNAcentral
GACACCGCCUGAGCUGGGCUGGGCUGGGCUGGGCUGCGGGUCGGGUAAUCGAGGC